CCUACGGGAGGCAGCAGUGGGGAAUAUUGGACAAUGGGCGAAAGCCUGAUCCAGCAAUGCCGCGUGAGUGAUGAAGGCCUUAGGGUUGUAAAGCUCUUUUACCAGGGAUGAUAAUGACAGUACCUGGAGAAUAAGCUCCGGCUAACUCCGUGCCAGCAGCCGCGGUAAUACGGAGGGAGCUAGCGUUGUUCGGAAUUACUGGGCGUAAAGAGUACGUAGGCGGUUAUUCAAGUCAGAGGUGAAAGCCCGGGGCUCAACCCCGGAACUGCCUUUGAAACUAGAUAGCUAGAGUCUUGGAGAGGUUAGUGGAAUUCCGAGUGUAGAGGUGAAAUUCGUAGAUAUUCGGAAGAACACCAGUGGCGAAGGCGACUAACUGGACAAGUACUGACGCUGAGGUACGAAAGCGUGGGGAGCAAACAGGAUUAGAUACCCUGGUAGUCCACGCCGUAAACGAUGAUAACUAGUUGUUCGGGCACUUGGUGCCUGAGUGACGCAGCUAACGCAUUAAGUUAUCCGCCUGGGGAGUCGGUCGCAGNUUAAACUCAAGAUUGACGNNGNGNNGCAGNGACAGAGGAGAG
RNAcentral lists this ribosomal RNA (578 nucleotides) under uncultured bacterium. RNAcentral describes it as "bacterial SSU rRNA". It matches the Rfam family "Bacterial small subunit ribosomal RNA", at positions 338 to 939 of the family's 1533-position model. The record is from RNAcentral.